GGUUUCCUAAUGAUUGUUAAAUUGAAAUUUGUUAGGCGAUCAAGUCCCCCUUUAGAUAUUGGCAAAUGUAUGCAGACGACUGUAAGAUACAGUAUCCAUUGGCUAGUAAUUGUUGUGAUCCACCAUGUUUUGUGAUAUUUGGUUUCAAUAGGAACUGGUUAGAUACAGUUCAGGCAAAGACAUGAAAAUAACCUAAAUGUUUACUUCACUUUCAUAUUUCCUACUUGGAUUAUAAAAUUGGACGCCACCUGGCGGGCUGAUACAGAGGACAUUGAAAAAAAGAUAAAUUUACCCGUUUGUGGAAUUGUUUUUUUCAGGUUCAAUCAGCUUGACCGCCGACGUGGAUGUAUCUAAACAAUUCAAUGAGGCAAACAAAUACAAAGAAGCAACAACUUGCAUGACAAGAACAGAUUUCGCCAUCUUGGAACUCAUAAUCAAUGCUCUUUUCAGAAAUGGUUGAGCAAGCUGCGCGCGACGUUGAUUCUUAGAAACGUUACUUUCUAAUCGAUACACCUGUGUACUUGGAUCUACUUUCCCGGCAACGAUCCUGCAUCGAUUGGACUAGUUAUGAGAUUUUUUGCUAGUCAAACGAAUGGGAAAGAUUAAAUGAAUGGCAGAAAACUUAAUAAUCAGUGAUGAUUUUAUAUGCAUCACGUCAAACAACAGUUAUCAUGACAGCCAUUCCCAAAGGUUUUGGUAAUCCACUCCACAGUUGGUCAAGCAGUGCAAGUGGCUUAUAAAUUUGUGGCAAUAUAAAGUUACAUGACAAUAAGAAGUGACACUUGUAGUUCAACUAUCACGUAUUAAGUUGGGAGGCGAAUCCAUGGCAAAAUUCAGUCAUCCAUCGAUGAACAACAUUUUCCUACGUAAAGAUCAAUCGAGCUUUAUAAAAAUAGCGAUCGGGACUUCAAAAUUCGUCUUAAAUCACAGGUGAAUUAGCCUAAGUCUCAAGAAUAUGUUUUCACUCGUAAAUAUAAAUAAAUACAA
Daphnia carinata is the source of this 987-nucleotide long non-coding RNA. RefSeq lists it as uncharacterized. NCBI's taxonomy places the organism in Eukaryota, Metazoa, Arthropoda, Branchiopoda, Diplostraca, Daphniidae. The transcript is spliced from 3 exons. The record is from RefSeq and is a predicted model, not a curated record.